RNAcentral lists this non-coding RNA (29 nucleotides) under Rattus norvegicus (Norway rat). The record is from RNAcentral. Lineage: Eukaryota; Metazoa; Chordata; Mammalia; Rodentia; Muridae.
UUUUAUAGGUGUCAGAUCUUCCCACGUGA